AUUGAACGCUGGCGGCAGGCCUAACACAUGCAAGUCGAACGGUAACAGGAAACAGCUUGCUGUUUCGCUGACGAGUGUCGGACGGGUGAGUGAUGUCUGUGAAACUGUCUGAUUGAGUGGGGGAACUACUGGAAACGGUAGCUAAUACCGCAUAACGUCGCAAGACCAAAGAGGGGGACCUUUGCGCCUCUUGCGAUCGGAAGUGCCCCGAUGUGGGUUUAGAGAGUGGGGGGGGUAAGGGCUCACCAAGGCGACGACCCCUAGCUGGUCUGAGAGGAUGACCAGCCACACUGGAACUGAGACACGGUCCAGACUCCUACGGGAGGCAGCAGUGGGGAAUAUUGCACAAAGGGCGCAAGCCUGAUGCAGCCAUGCCGCGUGUAUGAAGAAGGCCUUCGGGUUGUAAAGUACUUUCAGCGGGGAGGAAGGGAGUAAAGUUAAUACCUUUGCUCAUUGACGUAACCCGCAGAAGAAGCACCGGCUAACUCCGUG
RNAcentral lists this ribosomal RNA (492 nucleotides) under uncultured bacterium. RNAcentral describes it as "partial 16S ribosomal RNA". It matches the Rfam family "Bacterial small subunit ribosomal RNA", at positions 30 to 507 of the family's 1533-position model. The record is from RNAcentral.